RNAcentral lists this ribosomal RNA (274 nucleotides) under uncultured bacterium. Its description in RNAcentral is "partial 16S ribosomal RNA". It matches the Rfam family "Bacterial small subunit ribosomal RNA", at positions 523 to 796 of the family's 1533-position model. The record is from RNAcentral.
AUACGGAGGGUGCAAGCGUUAUCCGGAAUCAUUGGGCGUAAAGCGCGCGUAGGCGGCUUGAUAAGUUGGAUGUGAAAGCCUACGGCUCAACCGUAGAACUGCAUCCAAAACUGUCAAGCUAGAGUCUGGGAGGGGAAGAUGGAAUUAGUUGUGUAGGGGUAAAAUCCGUAGAGAUAACUAGGAAUACCAAAAGCGAAGGCGAUCUUCUGGAACAGUACUGACGCUGAGGCGCGAAAGCGUGGGGAGCAAACAGGAUUAGAAACCCCUGUAGUCC